This 321-nucleotide ribosomal RNA is filed under the name uncultured eukaryote. RNAcentral describes it as "partial 18S ribosomal RNA". It matches the Rfam family "Eukaryotic small subunit ribosomal RNA", at positions 1470 to 1796 of the family's 1831-position model. The record is from RNAcentral.
CCCUUAGAUGUUCUGGGCCGCACGCGUGCUACACUGAUGAACGCAACGAGACCACCUGUACCGAAAGGCAUGGGUAAACUUGUGAAAGUUCAUCGUGAUGGGGAUAGAUUAUUGCAAUUAUUAAUCUUCAACGAGGAAUUCCUAGUAAGCGCGAGUCAUCAGCUCGCGUUGAUUACGUCCCUGCCCUUUGUACACACCGCCCGUCGCUCCUACCGAUUGAAUGGUCCGGUGAAAUCUUCGGAUUGCUGGAUAGGACUUCAUUGACCUAUCUGCGAGAAGUUGCUUGAACCUUAUCAUUUAGAGGAAGGAGAAGUCGUAACA